This 371-nucleotide unclassified non-coding RNA is filed under the name fungal sp. Its description in RNAcentral is "partial internal transcribed spacer region". The stretch from base 1 to 46 matches the Rfam family "Eukaryotic small subunit ribosomal RNA", at positions 1786 to 1831 of the family's 1831-position model. Lineage: Eukaryota; Fungi. The record is from RNAcentral.
AAGUCGUAACAAGGUUUCCGUAGGUGAACCUGCGGAAGGAUCAUUAAUGAAUUCUAUUCAUUUACGUAUGUGAACUUGCUGAAGCAUGUGUUUGGCGAUAGACCGGCGGAAAUUUAAAGUAUCAAAGCUUUGAUAACCCCGAUCUGUUGCGACACUCUAUAAUGGGUAUCUGUGAUACAAAUUUGGAGUGCCUGGCAUGGCCGAUUGUCGAAGACGAAAGUUGAGAUGACUGGUCAUUGCCACGACUAUGUUUGAGCCUUACCGCUGGCGGACUUUGAGCCGUCAGCCAUUUUAACCACCCUACUUCUUUGACUAAUACUGAAAUAAUUUCAAGUUUAUGACAACUUUUAGCAAUGGAUCUCUAGGCUCUC